UGGGGAAUCUUCCGCAAUGGACGAAAGUCUGACGGAGCAACGCCGCGUGAGUGAAGAAGGUUUUCGGAUCGUAAAACUCUGUCUUUUGGGGCGAACGUGAGUAUGGUGAACAAUCAUAGUCAGUGACGGUACCAAAGGAGGAAGCCACGGCUAACUACGUGCCAGCAGCCGCGGUAAUACGUAGGUGGCAAGCGUUGUCCGGAAUUAUUGGGCGUAAAGAGCGCGUAGGCGGGAUAGUCAGUCUGUUGUAAAGUGCGGGGCUCAACCCCGUGAUCGCAAUGGAAACAGCUAUUCUUGAGUGCAGGAGAAGAAGUGGAAUUCCCAGUGUAGCGGUGAAAUGCGUAGAUAUUGGGAGGAACACCAGUGGCGAAGGCGACUUUCUGGACUGUGUCUGACGCUGAGGCGCGAAAGCCAGGGGAGCGAACGGGAUUAGAUACCCCGGUAGUCCUGGCCGUAAACGAUGGGUACUAGGUGUGGGAGGUAUCGACCCCUUCCGUGCCGGAGUUAACGCAAUAAGUACCCCGCCUGGGGAGUACGGUCGCAAGACUGAAACUCAAAGGAAUUGACGGGGUCAUAGCUGUUUCCU
Molecule: ribosomal RNA, 586 nt
Filed under: uncultured bacterium
Lineage: Bacteria
Description: partial 16S ribosomal RNA
Rfam family: Bacterial small subunit ribosomal RNA
Source: RNAcentral